Molecule: ribosomal RNA, 532 nt
Filed under: Pseudomonas syringae
Lineage: Bacteria; Pseudomonadati; Pseudomonadota; Gammaproteobacteria; Pseudomonadales; Pseudomonadaceae
Description: partial 23S ribosomal RNA
Rfam family: Bacterial large subunit ribosomal RNA
Source: RNAcentral
GGUCAAGUGAAGAAGCGCAUACGGUGGAUGCCUUGGCAGUCAGAGGCGAUGAAAGACGUGGUAGCCUGCGAAAAGCUUCGGGGAGUCGGCAAACAGACUGUGAUCCGGAGAUGUCUGAAUGGGGGAACCCAGCCAUCACAAGAUGGUUAUCUUGUACUGAAUACAUAGGUGCAAGAGGCGAACCAGGGGAACUGAAACAUCUAAGUACCCUGAGGAAUAGAAAUCAACCGAGAUUCCCUUAGUAGUGGCGAGCGAACGGGGACCAGCCCUUAAGUUGGUUUGAGAUUAGUGGAACGCUCUGGAAAGUGCGGCCGUAGUGGGUGAUAGCCCUGUACACGAAAAUCUCUUAUCAAUGAAAUCGAGUAGGACGGGGCACGAGAAACCUUGUCUGAACAUGGGGGGACCAUCCUCCAAGGCUAAAUACUACUGACUGACCGAUAGUGAACCAGUACCGUGAGGGAAAGGCGAAAAGAACCCCGGAGAGGGGAGUGAAAUAGAUCCUGAAACCGUAUGCGUACAAGCAGUGGGAGCC